RNAcentral lists this ribosomal RNA (253 nucleotides) under uncultured bacterium. RNAcentral describes it as "partial 16S ribosomal RNA". It matches the Rfam family "Bacterial small subunit ribosomal RNA", at positions 524 to 776 of the family's 1533-position model. The record is from RNAcentral.
UACGUAGGGUGCAAGCGUUAAUCGGAAUUACUGGGCGUAAAGCGUGCGCAGGCGGUUCUGUAAGUCUGUCGUGAAAUCCCCGGGCUUAACCUGGGAAUUGCGAUGGAGACUGCAAGGCUAGAAUCUGGCAGAGGGGGGUAGAAUUCCACGUGUAGCAGUGAAAUGCGUAGAGAUGUGGAGGAACACCGAUGGCGAAGGCAGCCCCCUGGGUCAAGAUUGACGCUCAUGCACGAAAGCGUGGGGAGCAAACGGG